GAGUUUGAUCGUGGCUCAGAGCGAACGCUGGCGGCGUGUUUAAGACAUGCAAGUCGCACGGGGGAAUUGAGUAGCAAUACGAGAUUCUUCAGUGGCGCACGGGUGAGUAACACGUGAAUUACAUGCCCUUCAGUGGGGGAUAGCCCAGGGAAACUUGGAUUAAUACCCCAUGGUAUCGCGAGAUUAAAGGCGGCCGCAAGGCUGUCGCUGAAGGAUUGGUUCGCGCCCUAUCAGCUUGUUGGUGAGGUAACGGCUCACCAAGGCUACGACGGGUACCUGGUCUGAGAGGACGAUCAGGCACACUGGAACUGAGACACGGUCCAGACACCUACGGGUGGCAGCAGUCGAGAAUAAUUCACAAUGGGGGCAACCCUGAUGGUGCAACGCCGCGUGGAGGAUGAAGGUCUUCGGAUUGUAAACUCCUGUCAUCGGGAGUAAGACCUGGCUGUGAAUAGCAGACA
RNAcentral lists this ribosomal RNA (461 nucleotides) under uncultured Verrucomicrobiae bacterium. RNAcentral describes it as "bacterial SSU rRNA". It matches the Rfam family "Bacterial small subunit ribosomal RNA", at positions 9 to 470 of the family's 1533-position model. The record is from RNAcentral. Lineage: Bacteria; Pseudomonadati; Verrucomicrobiota; Verrucomicrobiia.